UUCGGCAGCCAUAUCACCCUGUAGCCCAAGCCUGGUUGCCCACUGAAGCUAAGCAGGGCUGGAGCCUGGUCAGUACCUGGAUGGGAGACCUCCUGGGAAAACUAGGUUGCUGCUGGAA
Molecule: ribosomal RNA, 118 nt
Filed under: Sinocyclocheilus anshuiensis
Lineage: Eukaryota; Metazoa; Chordata; Actinopteri; Cypriniformes; Cyprinidae
Source: RNAcentral